GACGAACCGUGCAAACGUUGUUCGGAAUCACUGGGCUUAAAGGGCGCGUAGGCGGGUGAUCAAGUCCGGGGUGAAAUCUUUCGGCUCAACCGGAAAAUAGCCUUGGAUACUGGUCGUCUUGAGGGAGGUAGGGGCAUGUGGAACUUCCGGUGGAGCGGUGAAAUGCGUUGAUAUCGGAAGGAACGCCGGUGGCGAAAGCGACGUGCUGGAUCUCUUCUGACGCUGAUGCGCGAAAGCUAGGGGAGCAAACGGG
This 253-nucleotide ribosomal RNA is filed under the name uncultured prokaryote. Its description in RNAcentral is "partial 16S ribosomal RNA". It matches the Rfam family "Bacterial small subunit ribosomal RNA", at positions 524 to 776 of the family's 1533-position model. The record is from RNAcentral.